AUGACCAUGUUUGGCUUCUUGGAUGGCCUUUUGGAGUUGAGUGAACAUCUUGACAGAAGACUCUGAGAAGUUGUUUAACUGGCUCAGGAAAAAGGUCAAGCUUGUACGAAAAUGAUCGAAGCCGGCUAUCCAGUCUUCAGGAGAAUCAUCUCUCAGUGGGGUCUUAAGACCUGGUUCACCAUCGAUUCCAUGACGAUGAUUUCCACCCUUCCCUUGGUGCUUCUCUUGCCGAGGUAGGAGGUGAGAGAUUUCGGCAGCCAACCCCUUUAUAGCGUCUGAAACCUCCUUAGUAGGCAAUGAAUCAA
Molecule: unclassified non-coding RNA, 305 nt
Filed under: Hevea brasiliensis (rubber tree)
Lineage: Eukaryota; Viridiplantae; Streptophyta; Magnoliopsida; Malpighiales; Euphorbiaceae
Source: RNAcentral